RNAcentral lists this ribosomal RNA (446 nucleotides) under uncultured bacterium. RNAcentral's name for it is "partial 16S ribosomal RNA". It matches the Rfam family "Bacterial small subunit ribosomal RNA", at positions 330 to 792 of the family's 1533-position model. The record is from RNAcentral.
CCCAGACUCCUACGGGAGGCAGCAGUGGGGGAUAUUGCACAAUGGGGGGAACCCUGAUGCAGCGACGCCGCGUGGGUGAAGGAGCGUUUCGGCGCGUAAAGCCCUAUCGGCAGGGAAGAAGGAGGACGGUACCUGACUAAGAAGCCCCGGCUAACUACGUGCCAGCAGCCGCGGUAAUACGUAGGGGGCAAACGUUAUCCGGAUUUACUGGGUGUAAAGGGGGCGCAGACGGCAGCGCAAGCCAGGAGUGAAAGCCCGGGGCCCAACCCCGGGACUGCUCUUGGAACUGCGCGGCUGGAGUGCAGGAGGGGCAGGCGGAAUUCCUGGUGUAGCGGUGAAAUGCGUAGAUAUCAGGAGGAACACCGGUGGCGAAGGCGGCCUGCUGGACUGCGACUGACGUUGAGGCCCGAAAGCGUGGGGAGCAAACAGGAUUAGAUACCCUUGUA